Molecule: ribosomal RNA, 460 nt
Filed under: uncultured bacterium
Lineage: Bacteria
Description: partial 16S ribosomal RNA
Rfam family: Bacterial small subunit ribosomal RNA
Source: RNAcentral
CCUACGGGAGGCAGCAGUGAGGAAUAUUGGUCAAUGGGCGCGAGCCUGAACCAGCCAAGUAGCGUGAAGGAUGACUGCCCUACGGGUUGUAAACUUCUUUUAUAAAGGAAUAAAGUGAGGCACGUGUGCCUUUUUGUAUGUACUUUAUGAAUAAGGAUCGGCUAACUCCUUGCCAGCAGCCGCGGUAAUACGGAGGAUCCGAGCGUUAUCCGGAUUUAUUGGGUUUAAAGGGAGCGUAGAUGGGCUGUUAAGUCAGUUGUGAAAGUUUGCGGCUCAACCGUAAAAGUGCAAUUGAUACUGGGUGCCUUGAGUACAGUGGAGGUAGGCGGAAUGCGUGGUGUAGCGGUGAAAUGCUUAGAUAUCACGAAGAACUCCGAUUGCGAAGGCAGCCUACUAAACUGUCACUGACGCUGAUGCUCGAAAGUGUGGGUAUCAAACAGGAUUAGAUACCCGGGUAGUC